UAGGGAAUCUUCCGCAAUGGACGCAAGUCUGACGGAGCAACGCCGCGUGAGUGAAGAAGGAUUUCGGUUCGUAAAACUCUGUUGUUAGAGAAGAACAGCGCAUAGAGUAACUGUUAUGCGUGUGACGGUAUCUAACCAGAAAGCCACGGCUAACUACGUGCCAGCAGCCGCGGUAAUACGUAGGUCCCGAGCGUUGUCCGGAUUUAUUGGGCGUAAAGCGAGCGCAGGCGGUUAGAUAAGUCUGAAGUUAAAGGCAGUGGCUCAACCAUUGUAGGCUUUGGAAACUGUUUAACUUGAGGGCAGAAGGGGAGAGUGGAAUUCCAUGUGUAGCGGUGAAAUGCGUAAAUAUAUGGAGGAACACCGGUGGCGGAAGCGGCUCUCUGGGCUGUAACUGACGCUGAAGCUCGAAAGCGUGGGGAGCGAACAGG
RNAcentral lists this ribosomal RNA (428 nucleotides) under Bacteroidota bacterium. RNAcentral's name for it is "Bacteroidetes bacterium partial 16S ribosomal RNA". It matches the Rfam family "Bacterial small subunit ribosomal RNA", at positions 355 to 776 of the family's 1533-position model. The record is from RNAcentral. Lineage: Bacteria; Pseudomonadati; Bacteroidota.